UACAGAGGUCUCAAGCGUUGUUCGGAUUCAUUGGGCGUAAAGGGUGCGUAGGUGGCGCCAUAAGUCAGGUGUGAAAUCUCGGGGCUCAACCCCGAAACUGCACUUGAUACUGUGGUGCUCGAGUACUGGAGAGGAGAUUGGAAUUUACGGUGUAGCAGUGAAAUGCGUAGAUAUCGUAAGGAAGACCAGUGGCGAAGGCGAGUCCCUGGGACAACUCCUGACACUGAUGCACGAAAGCUAGGGGGAGCAAA
RNAcentral lists this ribosomal RNA (251 nucleotides) under uncultured bacterium. RNAcentral describes it as "partial 16S ribosomal RNA". It matches the Rfam family "Bacterial small subunit ribosomal RNA", at positions 524 to 772 of the family's 1533-position model. The record is from RNAcentral.